GUCCUCGUAGCUCAGCUGGAUAGAGCAGUUGCCUCCUAAGCAACAGGCCGCGUGUUCAAAUCACGCCGAGGACA
This 74-nucleotide transfer RNA is filed under the name Simkaniaceae bacterium. RNAcentral's name for it is "tRNA-Arg". It matches the Rfam family "tRNA". Rfam says of the family: Transfer RNA (tRNA) molecules are approximately 80 nucleotides in length. Their secondary structure includes four short double-helical elements and three loops (D, anti-codon, and T loops). Lineage: Bacteria; Pseudomonadati; Chlamydiota; Chlamydiia; Parachlamydiales; Simkaniaceae. The record is from RNAcentral.